UGGGGAAUUUUGGACAAUGGGGGCAACCCUGAUCCAGCAAUGCCGCGUGAGUGAAGAAGGCCUUCGGGUUGUAAAGCUCUUUUGUCCGGGAAGAAAUCCCAUCCUUGAAUACGGGGUGGGGAUGACGGUACUGGAAGAAUAAGCACCGGCUAACUACGUGCCAGCAGCCGCGGUAAUACGUAGGGUGCAGGCGUUAAUCGGAAUUACUGGGCGUAAAGCGUGCGCAGGCGGUUGUGCAAGACCGAUGUGAAAUCCCCGGGCUUAACCUGGGAACUGCAUUGGUGACUGCACGGCUAGAGUGUGUCAGAGGGGGGUAGAAUUCCACGUGUAGCAGUGAAAUGCGUAGAGAUGUGGAGGAAUACCGAUGGCGAAGGCAGCCCCCUGGGAUAACACUGACGCUCAUGCACGAAAGCGUGGGGAGCAAACAGGAUUAGAUACCCUGGUAGUCCACGCCCUAAAACGAUGNCAACUAGCUUGUCGGGGAUUAAUUUCCUUGGUAACGGCAGCUAACGCUGAAGUUGACCGCCUGGGGAGUACGGUCGC
Molecule: ribosomal RNA, 543 nt
Filed under: uncultured bacterium
Lineage: Bacteria
Description: partial 16S ribosomal RNA
Rfam family: Bacterial small subunit ribosomal RNA
Source: RNAcentral